UCGGGCUCUUCUCUGAGAUACGUCACUCACCUCUGGACCCAUAGGUCAGGAGCAGCCAUAUAUGCUUUCAUGUGCAGUGACGUUCUGGCUCUUCUCCAUCAGACAAGUCAACGCCUGCUAUGAACACAGCAUAUUACAUAAUCCCCAUAAUCUCCAGUCUCUACAGUUUAACUUAUGCCGAAAACGGAAGGCAGGCCCAGGCUCUUCUCUGAGAUACGUCACUCACCUCUGGACCCAUAGGUCAGGAGUAGCAGUAGCGGCUUUCAUGUGAAGUGACGUAUUGGCUCUUCUCCAUCAGACAAGUCAGCGCCUGCUAUGAACACAGCAUGCUAUAUAAAUCCCCAUCAUCUCCAGUCUAUCCAAUCUCCAGGCUGGUCGAGGAGGGAUGGCUCAGGGGUUGGGGAGUGAUCGGCAUGGAUCACUCAGGGCGGAGCUGGGGGAGAUUGGGAGGAGCAUGAGGUCGUCUUUUAGGCUCCAGGCCCCAAGCUCUCGCCGGAGCUCGGGGGCCUUCUCGGCCAGGGACCAGGAUGAAGAGUAUGAACUGCAGUGGGCGGCCAUCGAGAGGCUGCCCACGUCAGACCGCCUAAGGUCAGCGCUGUUCUGGCGCCCAGAUGGUGAGGAAGGGGAGGGGGAGGUCAGGAGGAAGGAAGCAGUUGAUGUUACCAAGCUGGGGGCCUUGGAGAAGCGCCUGUUCAUUGAGAGUCUGAUUAAGGACAUCGAGGAUGAUAAUCUACGGCUGUUGCAGAAGCAGAAGGAGAGAAUAGAUAGGUAACAGUUUCUAUUUUUUUCUUCCAAUGUUAUAUCUGUAAAUGAAUGGAUGAGGAAACAUGCUGGGUUGAAACAAUACAUUAAAAUUCACAACUGAGGGAAGAACUUGGCGGGUCAAAGAUGAUAAGAACAGUAAGUAGAUGAUGAGGAUGAACGAGCAUGGGGCAGAAUAUGUCAGAAUUCAUUAUGAGAAAUCGGGAAUCAAAUUAAUUGUGCCUGAGAAAUAGAAGAGCAAUGGGUGAGAUUGUAGCUUUCCAUGAAUAGUUCUGCCCUAUUAAAGAGGCAUCUUCAGUGUCAAAUAUUAGAAAUACAGUGGAGAAAAAUAAGCAAACACAGUAUGAAAUCGGCCAUGAUUCAUCUAGAAAACUCCCUAUAUGGAUCAAUUCUGUGUGUGAAAUAGCAUACAAAUGAGUGUGCUCGCAGUUCUGCAUGAACCUUGUUGCCAAAUUGAAGAAGCAUUUCGUAGAACAAUGAAAGUAAGUAAAUUAGGUAAACAAAAGCAUGAGCAGGAUAAAUAUGCCGGAAUUCAAUUCAUUUAAGCAAAAUCUACAAUCAAGUUCAUCCUGUCUGGGAAAUAGCAGAGCGAGAAUUGCACUUGCAUUUUUUCUAGGAAUAUAGUUGCCCCAUCGAAGAAACAUGUUGCUGAUGAAUGACUGUAGAUUCAGUAGCUAAAAAUAUGCAUACAGAGUAUAAAACUAUCUCGGAGUUCAUUGGCAGAAAUCUGCAUCUCAAUCGGAAGAUUCAGUGUGUGCUUGUAUUUUCCGAUGAACACCGUUUCUCUUCAUGACAAAGUGCAGAGUCAAUGUGAAAUUGCCCACCAUUGAGGUCAGAUAUGAGAAUCUGACGGUAGAAGCAGAGUGUGAAGUGGUUCAAGGGAAGCCCCUGCCAACUUUGUGGAAUACCGCCAAGAGCUUCCUCUUGGUGAGUAGAACCCCUCCGUCUGAAGGUUUUUCUUUCCUUUCUUGCACUUUACUAUCAUUUCAGGUAAAUAUCUUUGGCCCUUCAUAUGAUUCUCCACAUGAAUGACAACUCCACAGUCCUCUAAUCUACAAUCAUCAUUAUAGGGAGUCUAAAAUAGUUUUGAAUGAAAAAAGGCAUUCGAUUCUUCAAAUUUCAUUUACUGUUGAGCUUUUGAUGCAACAGAACUUGACAAGGCUGCUCGGCAAAAAAAAUCGAGAAGAAAAGAUCACAAUUAUAAAAGAUGUCAGCGGUAUUAUCAAACCUUCCAGGUACACACACCAAGAACACAAUUCGAUUUCCUGAAUGCAGAGAACAGUUUUUUUCUUCAGGACGAUAACAAUUACUUGGCCACCAUAGUAUAUCUGGGUCUUCGAUAAUUCUCUCAAUGCAGCAUAUAAGUAAUCAUUCACCCAUUUUUGUAUUUAGCAUUCAAUGCGAUUGCCACAAUUUUUUUUGGCUGCAGGAUGACUUUAUUGCUCGGGCCUCCAGGAUGUGGCAAGACUACCUUCUUACUGGCGCUUGCAGGGAAACUGGACCAGUCUCUCAAGGUUUCAUUUCUUCUAGUUUCGACGAAAAUAAAUAACAUAAUACUCAUAAGGUUCAAAAAUAUCCAGCUUAUACCUCAUGACCUGGGAUGUCUACUUUUAUUUAUUAGAAAACAUCCUCACUCCUGGACUCCUGAACAGAAAGGCAUCUAGAGGGGUCAAUUCCUUGGAUAUCGAGCUAUAAAAUAGCAGAACUAGUUAUCACUAUCGCCAGGCCCUAAUGGAGAUCUAACUGGGCCGAACACACGUGGGAUUUUAGUUCAUAGACAUUCAAAUGCCUUAUUGUCGCUUCUUUUCGGAGCAUAGGGUCAUCUCGAGCCUACAAAAUGGAAGGAUGAUUUUAUAUCUUAUUUUCCCGACAUAAGACUUAAUUUCAUCUGGAAGAGAAGGGGGAAAUUAGCAUAAGACUUAAUUGCCUAAGUAGCACAAAUUCUAAACCCCUCACAAACACACUAACCUGAUAGUGGGCAUACUCCAGUAGACUUUGUAAAGUCUGCAUCAGUCUUUGUGGCUCGUCUGCAACGUUGAUGAACCUUC
Molecule: long non-coding RNA, 2810 nt
Filed under: Spirodela polyrhiza (greater duckweed)
Lineage: Eukaryota; Viridiplantae; Streptophyta; Magnoliopsida; Alismatales; Araceae
Description: long non-coding RNA (SPOL_LNC001888)
Source: RNAcentral